Molecule: ribosomal RNA, 415 nt
Filed under: uncultured bacterium
Lineage: Bacteria
Description: bacterial SSU rRNA
Rfam family: Bacterial small subunit ribosomal RNA
Source: RNAcentral
UCGGGAAUAUUGCGCAAUGGAGGAAACUCUGACGCAGUGACGCCGCGUGCAGGAAGAAGGUUUUCGGAUUGUAAACUGCUUUAGACAGGGAAGAAACAAGACAGUACCUGUAGAAUAAGCUCCGGCUAACUACGUGCCAGCAGCCGCGGUAAUACGUAGGGAGCAAGCGUUAUCCGGAUUUAUUGGGUGUAAAGGGUGCGUGGACGGGAAGACAAGUUGGUUGUGAAAUCCCUCGGCUUAACUGAGGAACUGCAACCAAAACUAUCUUUCUUGAGUGCUGGAGAGGAAAGUGGAAUUCCUAGUGUAGCGGUGAAAUGCGUAGAUAUUAGGAGGAACACCAGUGGCGAAGGCGACUUUCUGGACAGUAACUGACGUUGAGGCACGAAAGUGUGGGGAGCAAACAGGAUUAGAUACC